RNAcentral lists this ribosomal RNA (304 nucleotides) under uncultured bacterium. RNAcentral describes it as "bacterial SSU rRNA". It matches the Rfam family "Bacterial small subunit ribosomal RNA", at positions 30 to 333 of the family's 1533-position model. The record is from RNAcentral.
AUUGAACGCUGGCGGCAUGCUUUACACAUGCAAGUCGAACGGCAGCGGGGACUUCGGUCCGCCGGCGAGUGGCGAACGGGUGAGUAAUGCAUCGGAACGUGCCUAUCAGUGGGGGAUAACGCUUCGAAAGGAGUGCUAAUACCGCAUAUUCUCUGAGGAGGAAAGCAGGGGGACCUUAGGGCCUUGCGCUGAUAGAGCGGCCGAUGUCGGAUUAGCUAGUAGGUGAGGUUAAAGGCUCACCAAGGCGACGAUCCGUAGCGGGUCUGAGAGGAUGAUCCGCACACUGGGACUGAGACACGGCCCA